CAGGCCUAACACAUGCAAGUCGAACGCUAUCGCAAGAUAGAGUGGCGCACGGGUGAGUAACACGUGGGAAUCUGCCCUUCUCUGCGGGACAACAGUUGGAAACGACUGCUAAUACCGCAUACGCCCUUCGGGGGAAAGGUCCGCCGGAGAAGGAGGAGCCCGCGUCUGAUUAGCUUGUUGGUGGGGUAAAGGCCUACCAAGGCGACGAUCAGUAGCUGGUCUGAGAGGAUGAUCAGCCACACUGGGACUGAGACACGGCCCAGACUCCUACGGGAGGCAGCAGUGGGGAAUAUUGGACAAUGGAGGCAACUCUGAUCCAGCAAUGCCGCGUGUGUGAUGAAGGCCCUAGGGUUGUAAAGCACUUUCAUUGGUGAAGAUGAUGACGGUAACCAAAGAAGAAGCCCCGGCUAACUUCGUGCCAGCAGCCGCGGUAAUACGAAGGGGGCGAGCGUUGUUCGGAAUUACUGGGCGUAAAGGGAGCGCAGGCGGUUCAAUUAGUUAGGCGUGAAAGCCCCGGGCUCAACCUGGGAACUGCGCUUAAUACUGGUGAGCUAGAAAACAGGAGAGGAUAGUGGAAUUCCCAGUGUAGAGGUGAAAUUCGUAGAUAUUGGGAAGAACACCGGUGGCGAAAGCGGCUAUCUGGUCUGUU
This 649-nucleotide ribosomal RNA is filed under the name uncultured bacterium. RNAcentral's name for it is "bacterial SSU rRNA". It matches the Rfam family "Bacterial small subunit ribosomal RNA", at positions 43 to 738 of the family's 1533-position model. The record is from RNAcentral.